Molecule: ribosomal RNA, 387 nt
Filed under: uncultured Thalassiosira
Lineage: Eukaryota; Bacillariophyta; Thalassiosirophyceae; Thalassiosirales; Thalassiosiraceae
Description: SSU rRNA
Rfam family: Eukaryotic small subunit ribosomal RNA
Source: RNAcentral
AGCUCCAAUAGCGUAUAUUAAAGUUGUUGCAGUUAAAAAGCUCGUAGUUGGAUUUCUGGCAGGAGCGACCGGUCGCACGCUAUGCGUGUGAACUUGUGUUGUCUCUGGCCAUCCUUGGGGAGAUCCCGUUUGGCAUUAAGUUGUCGGGCGGGGGAUACCCAUCGUUUACUGUGAAAAAAUUAGAGUGUUUAAAGCAGGCUUAUGCCGUUGAAUAUAUUAGCAUGGAAUAAUAAGAUAGGACUUUGGAACUAUUUUGUUGGUUUGCGUUACAAAGUAAUGAUUAAUAGGGACAGUUGGGGGUAUUCGUAUUUCGUUGUCAGAGGUGAAAUUCUUGGAUUUCCGAAAGACGAACUACUGCGAAAGCAUUYACCAAGGAUGUUUUCAUUA